GACGAACGCUGGCGGCGUGCUUAACACAUGCAAGUCGAGCGGUAAGGCCCUUUCGGGGGUACACGAGCGGCGAACGGGUGAGUAACACGUGGGUGACCUGCCCUCAGCUCUGGGAUAAGCCUGGGAAACCGGGUCUAAUACUGGAUAUGACUCCAUGACGCAUGUUGUGGGGUGGAAAGCCUUGUGCGGCUGAGGAUGGGCCCGCGGCCUAUCAGCUUGUUGGUGGGGUGANGGCCUACCAAGGCGACGACGGGUAGCCGGCCUGAGAGGGCGACCAGCCACACUGGGACUGAGACACGGCCCAGACUCCUACGGGAGGCAGCAGUGGGGAAUCUUGCGCAAUGGGCGAAAGCCUGACGCAGCGACGCCGCGUGAGGGAUGACGGCCUGG
Molecule: ribosomal RNA, 390 nt
Filed under: uncultured bacterium
Lineage: Bacteria
Description: bacterial SSU rRNA
Rfam family: Bacterial small subunit ribosomal RNA
Source: RNAcentral